GGUUGAUCCUGCCAGUAGCAUAUGCUUGACUGGAAGAUUAAGCCAUGCAUGUCUAAGUAUAAGUUAUAUAUGGCGAAACUGCGAAUGGCUCAUUAAAACAGUUAUAAUUUAUUUGAUGAUUUUUUUACAUGGAUAACCGUGGGAAACUGGGGCUAAUACAUGCACAAAGGCCGCAAGGCUGUAUUUAUUAGUUUCAAAUCAAUAUAACCUAGUUAUUUUGUGAGGAAUCAUAAUAACUUAACGGAGCGCAGCGAUGCGCCGCAUCAUUCAAGUUUCUGCCCUAUCAGCUUUGG
This 293-nucleotide ribosomal RNA is filed under the name uncultured eukaryote. RNAcentral's name for it is "partial 18S ribosomal RNA". It matches the Rfam family "Eukaryotic small subunit ribosomal RNA", at positions 6 to 324 of the family's 1831-position model. The record is from RNAcentral.